RNAcentral lists this ribosomal RNA (414 nucleotides) under uncultured bacterium. RNAcentral describes it as "bacterial SSU rRNA". It matches the Rfam family "Bacterial small subunit ribosomal RNA", at positions 945 to 1359 of the family's 1533-position model. The record is from RNAcentral.
UUUAGUUCGAUGAUACGCGAGGAACCUUACCUAGGCUAGAAUGCGCGUGACCGGCUCAGAGAUGAGCCUUUCCUUCGGGACGCAAAGCAAGGUGCUGCAUGGCCGUCGUCAGCUCGUGCCGUGAGGUGUUGGGUUAAGUCCCCCAACGAGCGCAACCCCUAUGUUUAGUUGCCAUCAGGUUAUGCUGGGGACUCUAAACAGACUGCCUGCGCAAGCAGUGAGGAAGGCGGGGACGACGUCAGGUCAUCAUGGCCCUUACGCCUAGGGCUACACACGUGCUACAAUGGGCGGUACAGAGGGUCGCUACCUGGUGACAGGAUGCCAAUCUCAAAAAACCGUUCUCAGUUCGGAUUGAAGUCUGCAACUCGACUUCAUGAAGCUGGAAUCACUAGUAAUCGCGUAUCAGCCAUGACG